CAGUCGCCGCGGUAAUACAGAGGUCUCAAGCGUUGUUCGGAUUCAUUGGGCGUAAAGGGAGCGUAGGCGGUCGGGUAAGUCGGAUGUGAAAUCCUGGGGCUCAACCUCAGAACUGCAUUCGAUACUGCUUGGCUAGAGGACUGGAGAGGUGAGUGGAAUUCACGGUGUAGCAGUGAAAUGCGUAGAUAUCGUGAGGAAGACCAGCGGCGAAGGCGGCUCACUGGACAGUUCCUGACGCUGAUGCUCGAAGGCCAGGGGAGCAAACGGGAUUAGAUACCCCUGUAGUCCCUGUCUCUUAUAC
RNAcentral lists this ribosomal RNA (301 nucleotides) under uncultured bacterium. RNAcentral's name for it is "partial 16S ribosomal RNA". It matches the Rfam family "Bacterial small subunit ribosomal RNA", at positions 509 to 807 of the family's 1533-position model. The record is from RNAcentral.